Long non-coding RNA from Equus caballus (horse), 1713 nucleotides. RefSeq lists it as uncharacterized. The record is from RefSeq and is a predicted model, not a curated record. Lineage: Eukaryota; Metazoa; Chordata; Mammalia; Perissodactyla; Equidae.
UCCAACCUCCUGUUUCUUACAGGACUGGAGCAUCAAUCCUGUCCCAUUGAGGUAUGAGCAGGAGCUUUGUGCUCCAGCUCCACAGGGCCCUUCCUCUCAGUUUCUGAGGUUCCAGCAGCAACCAGAAGAAGAUCAUAGCUGGGUGCUGGCAACAUGAAGAUCUUUGAUGACGUGACAAGAGCAGCCUCCGCAGUGUGAUAGGAAAUGAAACCUGAGCGCAGCGAGGGGGGCAGAGAUGUUGAAAUGAGAAAGUCAUGACAACCUCCACAGAUACCUCUUUCCAGAGGCUUUGCUGUGAAGACUGAAACAACUGGGAACUUAUGUGGGAUGAAGAGCUGCCUCCGGUGGUCUCGGCAGUGUCUCAAGUCUCCCGUCGGGUAGAUUCUUGCAGAAUGAGGCUGGAAGUGCCACUCAGAGGAUCUGAUUCUAACCUCUGCAUAAGCAAAAACCCAGGCCUUGUGUUCCUCAAUUGGGGCCUGGGCUCUCAUAUGCCACUUAUUUUUUCUUAAGUGGAGCAAAGAUUGUGUCAAUAAAAGCAAAGAAUACUUGUUUCAUAUAUAUUUAAAGCUGACGAGUACUUUGUAUAUCACAUUAAGUAGGAAAUUGCUCCAGCCACACUUUGGUAUAUGCGAAUUUGUCAAUCCAUGCUUCUUGUUGAAAAUUUCCUAAGUCAUUGUCCUAAAACAUUUUAAGUAGGAAAGGAUUAUUUGUCAUGAUUGCUGAAAAACUAUCUUUGAGGGAGCACAGCGUCAGAGGUCCUUUAAUUCACUUGGUGGUUAAAAUGUGGGCAAGCACUGAAAGUAAUAUGAAUUCAGACUAAAACAAGAGAUGUGAGUCCAUUCUACUCUCUACUAGACAGAUGCCAUUUAGAGCAGUGCCCAACCUGGGUUUUCUGGACCUCUGAGGAGUUGAAGGCACAGACUUAUUUAACAAUAUCUAUUACUCAGUAUGCAUAAUGAUUACUGCUAUAGUCUGAUGAAAUAAAAGUAUCAGUUCUCUAAUGUCGAAGGUCUAUACAAUUAUUUUUUUAAAGGAAAUCCUUAUAUUCCUAAACUGUUAGUUCCAGUUGCCAUAUUUAAAUGGUGUUAAUAUACAGACAAACGUAAAGACAUUUGGAAGACGAUGAACAGGGCCAACCUAGUUUAAUAUAGUAGGAAGAUCACUGGUUUGCGUUAGAAUACUUAUAUUUCUGGUCUCAGCUUUAUCACCCAUUGUGUGUGUGAUCUUGAUGAAUUGACUUUGUUUCUGUAAAACAGAUAGCACCUGAAAAUGGCUCGCCUAAUGUGGUAGGCAAAAUUGUAGUAUGCUCCUCACAAUUCCCCCUCCCUGUAUCAUGCCCUCCUUUUGAGUCUGGGGGGCACCUGUGAAUAUGAGGGAAUAUUACUCCUAUAAUUAUUGAUAUUAUGUGUUAUUUAGAGAAGAUGAAGGGAUUGUAAUGAUGUAAUAAUGAUUAACCUUGGGGAAAGGGGUAGCAAUUGGAAGAAAGCGUUGUGCAGCUCCUGGGUGCAGACAACACUCUCUUUCUUGAUCUGGACACUGGUUAUUUGGGUGUGCAGUUAAUGUGAAUUCUCAGAGCUAUAAUGUGUGUACUUCCUGGAUGUUUAUUGUGUUUCAGUAAAACAUCAAUGCAUUUAUAUGUACUUUAAAAAGGGUAUUUUUCUUUUAAAUUAUUAAAAAUAUCUAAAUGAUAAAAAACACAGAAUUAUUUGAACA